Molecule: long non-coding RNA, 525 nt
Organism: Alligator mississippiensis (American alligator)
Lineage: Eukaryota; Metazoa; Chordata; Crocodylia; Alligatoridae
Exons: 4
Source: RefSeq, a predicted model, not a curated record
CACAGAGAGUCUGGUGAGCAUGCUGCCCCUUGCAUUCCUGAGCAGAAUGGCUCAAGAAAUCUCCACCUGGUUGCUGUCUCAUUUCCUCCCCUACCACACUUGUGGCUUCAUGAAGUCUGUGUGAAAUGAUUCAGGGGAGAGUCAGUCUGGUUCUUAAGGAACAGGAAUCCAGAGAAAAUGAAACCUCACAAUUAACUAGGUCCAAAGAUGGCUGACGAGGCCAAUCCAAGAUUGAGAGACUCUGCUGCAACUUGGGGGUCCCGCGGGCUGGAUAUAUUUUGCCUGCCACUGAACUACACUGAGCAAGAGAGAACAUGGAAGAACAACACUGGUGACCCUGGGAACAACAAAGGACACCAGUUCUUUUUAUUUAUAUGCUUAAGCUUUGAUAAACUGGAGUCAACAUAAAAAGCUCAAUCACAAUUUAAGCUUAUACAAUGACUUGGGGAACUUAUUUUAAAACAUGAAUUUUGGGUUGAUUUUACAAAGUUAUUGUGCAGUUGUUGUGAAAUCAUAAAUGCAUCU